GUAACCUGCCUCAUAGAGGGGAAUAGCCUUUCGAAAGGAAGAUUAAUACCGCAUAAGAUUGUAGUACCGCAUGGUACAGCAAUUAAAGGAGUAAUCCGCUAUGAGAUGGACCCGCGUCGCAUUAGCUAGUUGGUGAGGUAACGGCUCACCAAGGCGACGAUGCGUAGCCGACCUGAGAGGGUGAUCGGCCACAUUGGAACUGAGACACGGUCCAGACUCCUACGGGAGGCAGCAGUGGGGAAUCUUCCGCAAUGGGCGAAAGCCUGACGGAGCAACGCCGCGUGAGCGAAGACGGCCUUCGGGUUGUAAAGCUCUGUCUUUAGGGACGAUAAUGACGGUACCUAAGGAGGAAGCCACGGCUAACUAC
RNAcentral lists this ribosomal RNA (367 nucleotides) under uncultured bacterium. Its description in RNAcentral is "bacterial SSU rRNA". It matches the Rfam family "Bacterial small subunit ribosomal RNA", at positions 121 to 504 of the family's 1533-position model. The record is from RNAcentral.